Molecule: non-coding RNA, 3475 nt
Organism: Triticum urartu
Lineage: Eukaryota; Viridiplantae; Streptophyta; Magnoliopsida; Poales; Poaceae
Source: RefSeq, a predicted model, not a curated record
UAAGCCAGACCCGAACAGGUACCGACGAGAGAAAAGAAGAAGAAAAGCAACCAGCGCCUCGCACGACCCUGCCCCUCGAUCCCAUAUACACCUCCUUCCUGCCGCCACCUCCUGCCCCGCGCCGCCCGCCCCACACCGCCUCGAUUGGGACCGUGUCCCUCCCUAAACGACGGCGAUGAUGGAGGGCGCCGCCCAGCUCCUGGCUGACGGAUUUGCUAGCUCCCCGCUCCUCGGGGCCAGCCCCUCCCCGUGCCGAGUCGAGCAUCGACUUGGAGGCCCCUUGGGGCUGCCGCCGGUGCGGGAGUUCCGUGCGGCCGUGCGGGCUGGGUACCGAGCGGCGGGGCCCGUGGUGCGACGCUCGAUGGAUGGCCUGCACAACGCGGACGACUGCUUCUCUCCCAGGAGGUCCAUAGGAAGCCACUACAUGUCGGAGCUGUUGCAGGAGCACCAGAAGCUUAUCCUGUUCACACAGGUGCUACCAAUCUGCAUCAAACUAUUGGGCCACUAUGAGAGCCUCGAUUCACUCCCUCGCCGCCGCCCGGUCUACCAUUAUUGGCCUAGGCGUCUCACUUGUCACAUAUUGUUAUCAACUCAGGUAUGGUAUCUGGAAAAUCGUUAUUCUACCAAGAGAACAUUUCUUACUUUGGUUUCUAGGCAAUAUGAAAGUAAUGAGUAAACAUAACCCGCUGAAACAAAAACAUGGUGAAGUAGCUGACUGUAUAUUUUGCUUGGAGAUGAUACUGUUCACUGUCCAUAUUUUGUUUGUAUGGUGGCUGUACUUUGUAACGCUAGCAUGGAUGUCUGUUAUAAAAUAUACAAUAUCUAGAUUUUUGCUGGGUAAAGAAAUUUGCAGCUCCGAAUACUUUAUAUUUCCCGGUUGUUCUUAAUUUCGGAAGUAUGCAUGGGAACGCUGGGAUGACGUGUUUCAGAGAAUUCAGUGACUUGGUUCAACUAGACAAGGAUCAUUUCAACGCAAAGGACUCUCAUGUUACAGCCUAUUGACCACUGCAGUGUGUACUCCUGGAAUUGAUAGCGAAUGAAAGCGCCAUAGACAUUGCAGGGGAGAUAAAAUUUCUAGAUGUUAUUAGGUCUCACCAAUUUGUACUGCUGUUCACUCUAUAGUCUGGGAUUAAUUAGCUGUGCUGCAAGGAUUCCAACUUUAAAAGUCAUGCUGCAAGGACAAGUCCUCUAUAUGAUUCUUCAGUACAGUUCAAAAUAAAUCACGAUGCAGAGCAGAUUCAAUCUUUUGAUUUUAGACAACAAAGAGUUUCAUUGCUCUUAAGGUCUUUGUUUGCCUUUUUAUGGGAGGUCUUUGUUUGCUUGGAUUGAUGCGCGCGACUGACACAAUUUACAACAUUUUUUGACUGACAGCAUAGACCAUAGUUUCAGUUUUACAAUGUUUCCAGAGAGAGUAUAAUACUGAUGCACCAUUUAUUUCAGAGAAGAAAAAGGUUCCAUGAGGGUGUAUAUUACAGAAGUGGAGAAAGAGCUCGCCUACCAUGCAUGUUGCCUGGUCCGAUGAGCAGUGCUACGCCAAGUGCCCUGUCAGAGUGCAGCCGCACAGCGCUGCCUGCUGUUGAGGACCCCGGAGCCUAGACAGUUAGCUUGGCAACUUCCAGCCCCCACCGCCUUUCCUGACAGCCACGACACCCAUCUUUUCGUCUAUGCCUCAUUGGAUGCACUUCCAUUUGUGCUACCAAACUUUUUCACGAAAAGUGUAGUACCAGUUGGUGUGAUAUCAUGUCCUUAGAAACGCCCCCGAUGGAAUGACCACGACCAUGUUGUUGCCUGGAGUCUUUUUCAUGAUGAUGUCGCUAUUCGUCAUCCCACAAUUUAUGCGGUGGAGCGUCAACGACCUCAGCGUGUUGCAGGAGAAGACCAUGAAUAUCGGCAAGAAAGAUGUUGAUCCAGGAAGGUGCAACACUGUGAUGUGAGGUGAACACAAGCAUGGCCUACAAUCUCGACGCCCACCAUCCAUGUGCCUUGCAAGCAGCAAUUGUUCACAUCCUUGAUAUUUGUCACUGCCCUCAUCUCAUCUAUCCCGACAGUCUCAGUGUCCAGGCAAGGUAUGUCUAUGUCAGUUGAACCGUCACUCGAGUUACAACAAUUCCAAUCUUUUUCCUAUAUCUGCAAUUGGGUGGACUAUGGUAUGAAUCAGUUUAUAAGCAACCAUGGUGUACAUGAAUCUCUGUUGGUGUGAACUGUCAAAAGCAUUUCCUACUAUUUCUACCUCUGUUUCAUCUUCUAAAUCUAGAUUCUAGACUUGGAUAUUAUCUAGCAACAAUCUGUUCAUGAGAAAAGCAUGGCUGAGAGUCAUACUAGAUGUAUGCAUAAUACCGGGACAAGAUAUUUACCUUCCAUUAUCCCAGAAGGGAAACAUAAUACUAAACUGCCAUAAAAUAUAUGUGAGGGCUUACAUCAUCGUUGAGGUCAAAUUUGUAUCUUUAUUAUCACCCUGAUAAAACAUGGUUUUGCUAAUUGACUUCAUCUUAUUUCAACUUUGUUAGUUCAGUUCACGUGCUCUGUUAGAGACCAACCCCAAUGUGUAUGCUACAACCACUGAAAGAAGUAUGUUGCCUUGAUUUUUUUAAUUCAGUUAAUUUGUAUUAAUUGUGUGGCAUCAUAAUGCAAGGUAAAUGCAGAGCUAUACUUUCUAUUCUCGUGCCUUCUAUUAAAAUCAUGCAGAUGCUCCGGUCAUCGUUGUUCAUAUGUUUUGACUCUUGUCGAGCCUCUUCUGUGAGGCACACAUAGUUUGGGAGUAUGCCUAUGGCAAUUUAUCUAUUUCCAUGAUUGAAGAUACGUUUUUAAAUUGAACAAAACAAAUUAUAUGAGAGGCAUAUGUUUUGUUUUUGCUGUCCCAAACUACAGAGAGCCUUGCAAAUUUCCAGGACUCUGUUUCCUCUUGGAACUCUCCUAACUAUGCAUUCUUGAUCACUGUCGAACAUUGAUCGACAGACUGCUCUGUUUACAAACUCUAUUUUUUCUAGGUUUUCUUGUGAAAAUUGAUGAUACCCCAAUGCAGAGCCUUUUGUAGCCUUGUUGCUGGUGACAGAUUUCAGACGAUAACCUAAAUGUAGGCAUUAAACACAACAAGGUCAGGAUAUGAUAAUGGCCCAAGGCCGUGCCGACAAAUCUGGAAAUACUCUAGAACAAAAUAAUAAUCUGGCAGUGGCCCAAGAGAGCUAUUAGUUCUUGGAUUUUUAUACCCUCAUGUUAAUACUUAACUGUUACAAUUUUUAUUUUUCUUCUCAUUAUAUGUACCUAAUAAUGAUUUAGUUCAUUUCUGGAUGCUUGGACUAAAUCACUGCCAACUUUCUAUAACUUACAGCCUUUGCUUCUUAAGGAAUUGGAGCACUACACUCCCAUUUGUUAAUAGUUACACAUGGUGUAUGCCUGUAUGAGUACUCAAUGUUGUUGUCUGAUGUCUGUACAUUUGUUUGAGCACCACACGAUCUCAUGAAAGAUUUGUAUUGCU